GACGAACGCUGGCGGCGUGCUUAACACAUGCAAGUCGAACGGAAAGGCCCUGCUUUUGUGGGGUGCUCGAGUGGCGAACGGGUGAGUAACACGUGAGUAACCUGCCCUUGACUUUGGGAUAACUUCAGGAGACUGGGGCUAAUACCGGAUAGGAGCUCCUGCUGCAUGGCGGGGGUUGGAAAGUUUCGGCGGUUGGGGAUGGACUCGCGGCUUAUCAGCUUGUUGGUGGGGUAGUGGCUUACCAAGGCUUUGACGGGUAGCCGGCCUGAGAGGGUGACCGGCCACAUUGGGACUGAGAUACGGCCCAGACUCCUACGGGAGGCAGCAGUGGGGAAUAUUGCACAAUGGGCGGAAGCCUGAUGCAGCAACGCCGCGUGCGGGAUGACGGCCUUCGGGUUGUAAACCGCUUUCGCCUGUGACGAAGCGUGAGUGACGGUAAUGGGUAAAGAAGCACCGGCUAACUACGUG
This 468-nucleotide ribosomal RNA is filed under the name uncultured bacterium. RNAcentral describes it as "partial 16S ribosomal RNA". It matches the Rfam family "Bacterial small subunit ribosomal RNA", at positions 28 to 507 of the family's 1533-position model. The record is from RNAcentral.